GGUCAGGAUGAACGCUAGCGGCAGGCUUAACACAUGCAAGUCGAGGGGCAUCGGGAGUAGCAAUACUGCCGGCGACCGGCGCAAGGGUGCGUAACGCGUGAGCAACAUGCCCGUAUCAGGGGGAUAAUCCAUGGAAACGUGGUCUAAUACCCCAUAGUAAUUAUGUAAGGCAUCUUAUAUAAUUUAAAGCUUUGGUGGAUACGGAUUGGCUCGCGUGACAUUAGCUAGAUGGUAAGGUAACGGCUUACCAUGGCUACGAUGUCUAGGGGUUCUGAGAGGAAGGCCCCCCACACUGGAACUGAGACACGGUCCAGACUCCUACGGGAGGCAGCAGUGAGGAAUAUUGGACAAUGGAUGGAAAUCUGAUCCAGCCAUGCCGCGUGCCAGGAAGACGGCCCUAUGGGUUGUAAACUGCUUUUGUAUGGGAGCAAUAAGGGCUACGCGUAGUCCGAUGAGAGUACCAUACGAAUAAGCACCGGCUAACUCCGUGCCAGCAGCCGC
This 501-nucleotide ribosomal RNA is filed under the name uncultured bacterium. Its description in RNAcentral is "bacterial SSU rRNA". It matches the Rfam family "Bacterial small subunit ribosomal RNA", at positions 22 to 518 of the family's 1533-position model. The record is from RNAcentral.